GAUGAACGCUAGCGAUAGGCUUAACACAUGCAAGUCGAGGGGCAGCAUGGUCUUAGCUUGCUAAGACUGAUGGCGACCGGCGCACGGGUGCGUAACGCGUAUGCAACUUGCCUCACAGAGGGGGAUAACCCGUCGAAAGACGGACUAAUACCGCGUACACUCCAUCUUGGGCAUCCAAGGUAGAGGAAAUGAAAUUCGCUGUGAGAUAGGCAUGCGUCCCAUUAGCUAGUUGGUGAGGUAACGGCUCACCAAGGCGACGAUGGGUAGGGGAACUGAGAGGUUGAACCCCCACACUGGUACUGAGACACGGACCAGACUACUACGGGAGGCAGCAGUGAGGAAUAUUGGUCAAUGGGCGAGAGCCUGAACCAGCCAAGUCGCGUGAAGGAUGACUAUCUUAUGGAUGGUAAACUUCUUUUAUACGGGAAUAACAAGAGUCACGUGUGACUCCCUGCAUGUACCGUAUGAAUAAGCAUCGGCUAACUCCGUG
This 490-nucleotide ribosomal RNA is filed under the name uncultured bacterium. RNAcentral's name for it is "partial 16S ribosomal RNA". It matches the Rfam family "Bacterial small subunit ribosomal RNA", at positions 28 to 507 of the family's 1533-position model. The record is from RNAcentral.